AUGAACGCUGGCGGCGUGCCUAAUACAUGCAAGUCGAGCGAACAGACGAGGAGCUUGCUCCUCUGACGUUAGCGGCGGACGGGUGAGUAACACGUGGAUAACCUACCUAUAAGACUGAGAUAACUUCGGGAAACCGGAGCUAAUACCGGAUAAUAUAUUGAACCGCAUGGUUCAAUAGUGAAAGACGGUUUUGCUGUCACUUAUAGAUGGAUCCGCGCCGCAUUAGCUAGUUGGUAAGGUAACGGCUUACCAAGGCAACGAUGCGUAGCCGACCUGAGAGGGUGAUCGGCCACACUGGAACUGAGACACGGUCCAGACUCCUACGGGAGGCAGCAGUAGGGAAUCUUCCGCAAUGGGCGAAAGCCUGACGGAGCAACGCCGCGUGAGUGAUGAAGGUCUUCGGAUCGUAAAACUCUGUUAUUAGGGAAGAACAAAUGUGUAAGUAACUAUGCACGUCUUGACGGUACCUAAUCAGAAAGCCACGGCUAACUACGU
This 495-nucleotide ribosomal RNA is filed under the name uncultured bacterium. RNAcentral's name for it is "partial 16S ribosomal RNA". It matches the Rfam family "Bacterial small subunit ribosomal RNA", at positions 29 to 506 of the family's 1533-position model. The record is from RNAcentral.